GCCGAAGUGGCGGAAUGGUAGACGCGCACGACUCAAACUCGUGUACGCAAGUGUGUGGGUUCGAGUCCCACCUUCGGUA
This 79-nucleotide transfer RNA is filed under the name Darwinula stevensoni. It matches the Rfam family "tRNA". From Rfam's summary of the family: Transfer RNA (tRNA) molecules are approximately 80 nucleotides in length. Their secondary structure includes four short double-helical elements and three loops (D, anti-codon, and T loops). Further hydrogen bonds mediate the characteristic L-shaped molecular structure. tRNAs have two regions of fundamental functional importance: the anti-codon, which is responsible for specific mRNA codon recognition, and the 3' end, to which the tRNAs corresponding amino acid is attached (by aminoacyl-tRNA synthetases). tRNAs cope with the degeneracy of the genetic code in two manners: having more than one tRNA (with a specific anti-codon) for a particular amino acid; and 'wobble' base-pairing, i.e. permitting non-standard base-pairing at the 3rd anti-codon position. RNAcentral also lists the same sequence under 3 other names. Lineage: Eukaryota; Metazoa; Arthropoda; Ostracoda; Podocopida; Darwinulidae. The record is from Rfam by way of RNAcentral.